RNAcentral lists this ribosomal RNA (42 nucleotides) under Mesocestoides sp. PF-2005. RNAcentral describes it as "partial 5.8S ribosomal RNA". Lineage: Eukaryota; Metazoa; Platyhelminthes; Cestoda; Cyclophyllidea; Mesocestoididae. RNAcentral also lists the same sequence under 1 other name. The record is from RNAcentral.
GGCCAUAGGCUUGCCUGUGGCCACGUCUGUCCGAGCGUCGGC